AGUUCGGAAGUUUAAAACAGUAAGUUGCAAGCUUACAAUUGCGCUAUGCCCGUGCUA
RNAcentral lists this transfer RNA (57 nucleotides) under Echinogammarus berilloni. Its description in RNAcentral is "tRNA-Cys". The record is from RNAcentral. Lineage: Eukaryota; Metazoa; Arthropoda; Malacostraca; Amphipoda; Gammaridae.